This 442-nucleotide ribosomal RNA is filed under the name uncultured bacterium. Its description in RNAcentral is "bacterial SSU rRNA". It matches the Rfam family "Bacterial small subunit ribosomal RNA", at positions 338 to 795 of the family's 1533-position model. The record is from RNAcentral.
CCUACGGGAGGCAGCAGUGGGGAAUAUUGCACAAUGGGGGAAACCCUGAUGCAGCGACGCCGCGUGAAGGAAGAAGGUUUUCGGAUCGUAAACUUCUAUCAGCAAGGAAGAAGGAAGUGACGGUACCUGACUAAGAAGCCCCGGCUAACUACGUGCCAGCAGCCGCGGUAACACGGAGGGGGCAAGCGCUAUCCGGGAUCACUGGGAGUAAAGGGUGCGUAGGCGGCAGGGCAAGUGCGUUGUGAAAGCCCGGGGGUCAACCCCGGGAUUGCAUUCGAAACUGUCUUACUAGAGUGAUGGAGUGGAAAGCGGAAUUCCUAGUGUAGCGGUGAAAUGCGUAGAUAUUAGGAAGAAAACCAGUGGCGAAGGCGGCUUUCUGGACUGUAACUGACGCUGAGGCACGAAAGCGUGGGGAGCGAACAGGAUUAGAUACCCCAUAGUC